UGUGCGAAAAGAUCGCUAUUUGACAUUUAUAAUCAUAUUUAUUUUAAAUGUGUAUACAUAUAAAAUAUUGGUCAAUGGAUCUAAUACUACCUAAUGUAGACAGACAUCUAACUACCGUGCUGUUCUGUUCCAAUAUGUCCUGCAAAUGUUGAGUGGAAUUAUCAAUAGAGUCUGUGCGGCAGUGUGAUAAUGGAACACGCCAACGUGCAUGACAUAUGCGUCUUACAAAGAUUCGGACCGACUAUAGUAGGCCUGGCUGUUCUGAUAUAUACAUAUAUGAGAGAGUAAUGAAUUCAAACUAUAUGUUCAAAGUAGUAUGUUAAACAACCAGCCAAACAUCGAGCAGUAAAUAUCAUGUUAACUAGCUAGCCCAGUGGAAGAGAACUCGCCUGGAGUGCGAUGGGUUGCAGGAUCGACCGUCCUCGAUGGGCUCAGGUGUUUCCCAUUCCAACCAGUACUCCACCACCUCUGGGACCAAUUUGACCAUACAAACCGCAGUUCGUAUUGCCCCUAACAGUACAAGUAAUAUGAAACUGUCUGCAUGAAAACGAUUGCAAACACAUGCAAACGUAUAACUGCUAGUCGCAAACGUAAACAUAUUUUGUGAAAUUGGUUAAAGAAAUUAUCAUCUUGUCUAUGAGAAAGUACAUAUAAAAGAGUCCUCGCUGCUUUAUCAGUAGGAUUAGCCUAUGUGACGGAAGCGCUCUCUCUCUCUCUCUCUCUCUCUCUCUCUCUCUCUCUCUCUCUCUCUCUCUCUCUCUCUCUCUCUCUCUCUCUCUCUCUCUCUCUCUCUCU
Molecule: long non-coding RNA, 795 nt
Organism: Gigantopelta aegis
Lineage: Eukaryota; Metazoa; Mollusca; Gastropoda; Neomphalida; Peltospiridae
Exons: 2
Source: RefSeq, a predicted model, not a curated record